Macaca fascicularis (crab-eating macaque) is the source of this 83-nucleotide small nucleolar RNA. Lineage: Eukaryota; Metazoa; Chordata; Mammalia; Primates; Cercopithecidae. The record is from Ensembl.
AUCCUUUUGUAGUUCAUGAGCAUGAUGAUUCGGUGUUCGCGUGCAUGUGUGAGACGUCACACCCUUGCACAUCUCGCCUGACC